UUAUACAACCUCAACUCAUAUGGGACUACCCCCUGAAUUUAAGCAUAUUAAUUAGGGGAGGAAAAGAAACUAACAAGGAUUUUCUUAGUAGCGGCGAGCGAAAAGAAAUCAGUUCAGCACUAAGUCACUUUGUCUAUAUGGCAAAUGUGAGAUGCAGUGUAUGGAACAUCAAUAUUUUAGUAUGAGAAAUUAACGAUUUAAGUCCUUCUUAAAUGAGGCCAUUUACCCAUAGAGGGUGCCAGGCCCGUAUAACGUUAAUGAUUAUUAGAUGGUGUUUCCAAAGAGUCGUGUUGCUUGAUAGUGCAGCACUAAGUGGGUGGUAAACUCCAUCUAAAACUAAAUAUAACCAUGAGACCGAUAGUAAACAAGUACCGUGAGGGAAAGUUGAAAAGAACUCUGAAUAGAGAGUUAAAUAGUACGUGAAACUGCUUAGAGGUUAAGCCCGAUGAACCUGAAUAUCCGUUAUGGGAAAUUCAUCAUUAGAAUUGUAAUAUUUAAACAAUAUUAUAAGGAUAGUGUGCAUUUUUUCCAUAUAAGGACAUUGUAAUCUAUUAGUAUCAAACAAUUUAUCAAAAAAUUUUAGACAAAUGCUUAUUUAAAUUAGAGUGCUUGCAUUUUAACAUAAAAUAAAUGUCAUAAAUUUGAUAAAGUGCUGAUAGAUUUAUAUGAGUACAGUGCGUUAAUUUUUCGGAAUUAUAUAAUGGCAUGAUUAUCAUUGAUUUUUGUGUUUAUUAUAUGCACUUGUAUGAUUAACAAUGCGAAAGAUUCAGGAUACCUUCGGGACCCGUCUUGAAACACGGACCAAGGAGUCUAACAUAUGUGCAAGUUAUUGGGAUAAAAACCUAAUAGCGUAAUUAACUUGACUAUUAAUGGGAUUAGUUUUUUAACUAUUUAUAGUUAAUUAACACAAUCCCGGGGCGUUCUAUAUAGUUAUGUAUGAUGAUAUUUAUAUUAUUUAUACCUCUAACUGGAACGUACCUUGAGCAGAUAUGCUGUGACCCGAAAGAUGGUGAACU
RNAcentral lists this ribosomal RNA (1016 nucleotides) under Drosophila putrida. RNAcentral's name for it is "eukaryotic LSU rRNA". It matches the Rfam family "Eukaryotic large subunit ribosomal RNA", at positions 1 to 832 of the family's 3401-position model. The record is from RNAcentral. Lineage: Eukaryota; Metazoa; Arthropoda; Insecta; Diptera; Drosophilidae.